RNAcentral lists this ribosomal RNA (505 nucleotides) under uncultured bacterium. RNAcentral's name for it is "partial 16S ribosomal RNA". It matches the Rfam family "Bacterial small subunit ribosomal RNA", at positions 28 to 507 of the family's 1533-position model. The record is from RNAcentral.
GACGAACGCUGGCGGCGUGCCUAAUACAUGCAAGUAGAACGCACAGUUUAUACCGUAGCUUGCUACACCAUAGACUGUGAGUUGCGAACGGGUGAGUAACGCGUAGGUAACCUGCCUGGUAGCGGGGGAUAACUAUUGGAAACGAUAGCUAAUACCGCAUAAUAUUGAUUAUUGCAUGAUAAUUGAUUGAAAGAUGCUAUUGCAUCACUACCAGAUGGACCUGCGUUGUAUUAGCUAGUAGGUGAGGUAACGGCUCACCUAGGCGACGAUACAUAGCCGACCUGAGAGGGUGGUCGGCCACCCUGGGACUGAGACACGGCCCAGACUCCUACGGGAGGCAGCAGUAGGGAAUCUUCGGCAAUGGACGAAAGGCUGACCGAGCAACGCCGCGUGAGUGAAGAAGGUUCUCGGAUCGUAAAGCUCUGUUGUAAGGGAAGAACGGGUGUGAGAGUGGAAAGUUCACACUGUGACGGUAUCUUACCAGAAAGGGACGGCUAACUACGUG